RNAcentral lists this long non-coding RNA (1623 nucleotides) under Nicotiana tabacum (common tobacco). Its description in RNAcentral is "long non-coding RNA (NTAB_LNC007982)". The record is from RNAcentral. Lineage: Eukaryota; Viridiplantae; Streptophyta; Magnoliopsida; Solanales; Solanaceae.
AACCCAUCAUCAUGUACUCACGACACCUCGUGCCCACAUCUCGAAUCACAACCGCACGGACAACUCACGUGCCAAUAUCUCAAUCCGUGCGGCAUGAUCACAGGCUCACAAUCACAAUCCGCCCGGCAUGGUCACAGGCUCACAAUCACAACCCGUCCGACAUGGUCACAGGAUCACAAUCACAAUACGCCCGGCAUGGUCACAGGCUCACAAUCACAAUCUGUCCGGCAUGGUCACAUGCUCAAUAUCAAUAUGGAAAGAGAUAAAACAAGAACACAUGGGCAUGAUCAAUAAUGCUCAAUAUCAACAUGGAAAGAGAUAAAACAAGAACACAUGGGCAUGAUCAAUAAACGUCAAAGUUUCAUACUUUUGAGCUAGUAUAGGUGGCAUGCUACAGUGUAUGCUUGUGCGAGUGUACUACUGUAGCCCAAGUUAACAAGUAAUAUUAAAGACAUCGAAUAGCUCAUUGAAACAACAAAGCAAGUCACGUAAGGUGUAUGACAAACACAAGGAAAAGUACACCAUCACACGAAAAUCUCCUACACAAUGUCUCCAACCAUCACACAUCAUCCCUGACAUUUGCCACCCUUAUCUCUCCGAUAGCCAUCGCCCUGACAUUAUCAUUAGUCACACCCUUAUCUCUCCUAUAGCCACCAUCACUCCGUAUAAUAGCCAUCCUUAUCGCUCCGCCCUGACAUUAUCAUUAGCCACCCUUACACCCCGCAUAACAAUAACGGUGAAAUGCCACUCUUAUACUCCGCAUAAUAACAACCAAACCACACAACAAUUCACACGUGCUAUCAUCACAACAACACGAAAUAUCAACUCGUAUCACAAGUGCCCGUAGGCCACAACCUUUCUAAAAGUUCAACGAUAUCAAUAUUUUCACAAUAAAUAGUCCACCGCUCAGCACAACGUAUAUAGAAUCUCAAUAACAACUAAAUGAACGGAAAAGUAACUCAACAAAGAACAACAUCCCCUUUAAACACAACUUCAAUUAGAAUAGAUUAAUGACUAUUGAUAACUUCAAUUCCAAUUAAUUGUUUAACGUUAACCUCGAUAGUGAAAGUACUUCCAUGAAAUGACAAACUUCAGACUCUAGUGUAUGAAUUAGGCUAACAAUGAAGGAGAUGGCACGAACUAGUACUACGUAUAAAUGCAUGAGAAUAAUCCGGCAACAAAGGAUAUCAUGUGACGACAAUUAAAGGAUAUCAUGUGACGACAAUUUCAACUAAGAGUAGCUCCACAAUAAAAUAAAUCACAUAAUGACACAAAGUGAUGACAACUCCAAAUAAAGCAUAUAAGAGCAAACUCGACAAGUAAGGAAUAUGACAUGCAACGACAACUUCAAAUAAAGCAUGUGAUAGUAGACAUGACGAAUAAAAUAUAUAAAAUGUGCUAACAAUUCCAAAUAAGUACAUAAAAGCUGCCUAAGAGUCUAGACCAGUCAAUUUCCACAUAUAAGCCAGAGUACGUACUCGUCACCUCGCGUACACGGCUUUCACAUGAUACAAAUAGCACAAAGGACUCAAAUCCUAAGGGGUAGUUCCCCCACACAAAGUUAGGCAAGAUACUUACCUCAAAGAAGCUAGACCGAUACUCUAAAAUGACCUUCUCAUAUGA